This 407-nucleotide ribosomal RNA is filed under the name uncultured bacterium. RNAcentral describes it as "partial 16S ribosomal RNA". It matches the Rfam family "Bacterial small subunit ribosomal RNA", at positions 30 to 526 of the family's 1533-position model. The record is from RNAcentral.
AUUGAACGCUGGCGGGAUGCCUUACACAUGCAAGUCGAACGGAGUGGCGAACGGGUGAGUAAUGUAUCGGAACGUGCCCAGUAGCGGGGGAUAACUACGCGAAAGCGUAGCUAAUACCGCAUACUAUUGGAGCGGCCGAUUUGGGCUUAGCCAGUUGGUGGGGUAACGGCUCACCAAGGCGACGAACCGUAGCUGGUGUGAGAGGACGACCAGCCACACUGGAACUGAUGAACGGCCCAGGCGCCUACGGGAGUCAUCAGUGGGGAAUUUUGGACAAGGGGGGAGACCCUGAUGCAGCCAUCCCGCGUGUGCGAAGAAGGCCUUCGGGUUGUAAAGCACUUUUGGCAGGAAAGCGGUACCUGCAGAAUAAGCACCGGCUAACUACGUGCCAGCCGCCGCGGUAAUAC